UGAGGAAUAUUGGUCAAUGGACGAGAGUCUGAACCAGCCAAGUAGCGUGAAGGAUGACUGCCCUAUGGGUUGUAAACUUCUUUUAUACGGGAAUAAAGUUAGCCACGUGUGGCUUUUUGUAUGUACCGUAUGAAUAAGGAUCGGCUAACUCCGUGCCAGCAGCCGCGGUAAUACGGAGGAUCCGAGCGUUAUCCGGAUUUAUUGGGUUUAAAGGGAGCGUAGGCGGACGCUUAAGUCAGUUGUGAAAGUUUGCGGCUCAACCGUAAAAUUGCAGUUGAUACUGGGUGUCUUGAGUACAGUAGAGGCAGGCGGAAUUCGUGGUGUAGCGGUGAAAUGCUUAGAUAUCACGAAGAACUCCGAUUGCGAAGGCAGCUUGCUGGACUGUAACUGACGCUGAUGCUCGAAAGUGUGGGUAUCAAACAGGAUUAGAUACCCUGGUAGUCCACACAGUAAACGAUGAAUACUCGCUGUUUGCGAUAUACAGUAAGCGGCCAAGCGAAAGCGUUAAGUAUUCCACCUGGGGAGUACGCCGGCAACGGUGAAACUCAAAGGAAUUGACGGGGGCCCGCACAAGCGGAGGAACAUGUGGUUUAAUUCGAUGAUACGCGAGGAACCUUACCCGGGCUUGAAUUGCAACUGAAUGAUGUGGAGACAUGUCAGCCGCAAGGCAGUUGUGAAGGUGCUGCAUGGUUGUCGUCAGCUCGUGCCGUGAGGUGUCGGCUUAAGUGCCAUAACGAGCGCAACCCUUAUCGAUAGUUACCAUCAGGUUAUGCUGGGGACUCUGUCGAGACUGCCGUCGUAAGAUGUGAGGAAGGUGGGGAUGACGUCAAAUCAGCACGGCCCUUACGUCCGGGGCUACACACGUGUUACAAUGGGGGGUACAGAAGGCAGCUACACGGCGACGUGAUGCUAAUCCCGAAAGCCUCUCUCAGUUCGGAUUGGAGUCUGCAACCCAACUCCAUGAAGCUGGAUUCGCUAGUAAUCGCGCAUCAGCCACGGCGCGGUGAAUACGUUCCC
This 1017-nucleotide ribosomal RNA is filed under the name uncultured organism. RNAcentral describes it as "bacterial SSU rRNA". It matches the Rfam family "Bacterial small subunit ribosomal RNA", at positions 355 to 1375 of the family's 1533-position model. The record is from RNAcentral.